CCAAGAGUCCACAUCGACGGGGAGGUUUGGCACCUCGAUGUCGGCUCAUCACAUCCUGGGGCUGUAGUAGGUCCCAAGGGUUGGGCUGUUCGCCCAUUCAAGUGGUACGCGAGCUGGGUUCAGAACGGCGUGAGACAGUUCGGUCCCUAUCCGUCGCAGGCGUAGGAAAUUUGAGAAGACCUGUCCUUAGUACGAGAGGACCGGGAUGGACGUACCUCUGGUGUACCAGUUGU
Molecule: ribosomal RNA, 233 nt
Filed under: Clostridioides difficile
Lineage: Bacteria; Bacillati; Bacillota; Clostridia; Peptostreptococcales; Peptostreptococcaceae
Description: partial 23S ribosomal RNA
Rfam family: Bacterial large subunit ribosomal RNA
Source: RNAcentral